This 4130-nucleotide long non-coding RNA is filed under the name Sus scrofa (pig). RNAcentral's name for it is "lncRNA (ENSSSCG00005038580.1)". Lineage: Eukaryota; Metazoa; Chordata; Mammalia; Artiodactyla; Suidae. The record is from RNAcentral.
GGGGGUUUUCCGCCUCCCCGCACAGCCAACGCGGCCAUUCGGCGCACCAAGCAAGGGCAUCUGCCUUUCGAAUUCUGUACCAUGUACAAACUGUACACAAGUAACUUUUUCUUGUUUUGCUUUUUAGGGCCGCACCCGCGGCACAUGGAGGUUCCCAGGCCAGGGGUCGAGUCAGAGCUACAGCUGCUGGCCACAGCCACAGCCACAGCCACAUCAGAUCCAAGCUGUGUCUGUGACCUACACCACGGUUCACGGCAACACCGGAUCCUUAAUCCACCGAGUGGGGGCAGGGAUCGAACCUGUGUCCUCAUGGAUACUAGUUGGCCUUGUUACCGCUGAGCCGCAGUAGAAACUCUGGACAAGUAACUGCUUCAAAGAGACUUUCUUCUUAGGAUCUCACCUUUGCUGCAAAGAAAAACCCAAACAGGCUUUGUGAUUUUAGCCUGUUGUCCUCCCUCCCAGCAGCCUCUAAAGGGUUUAUUUUUGAGAUUCAUUUUUCCCCGAGUAGGAAUCAUGCCUUAGAAAACAAGUCAUUAUCAUGCGUUUGUGUUUUAAAUGACCUGGUGUUCUCACUCUGCUCCGUUUAUAAUAUCUUCCGUUCAUUCAUUCCACAAACAGAUGCUCUCCGCCAUCUACAGACAGAGAAUCCUGUUGUGCUGGAGCCAGAAGGGCCGGUUUCGUGGGAGAGCUGGAAACGGACCUGGAACCUCAAGCCCCCCCCAGGCCCGCAGGAGGAAGCCUCAGCUGGGAGCCAGCCCAACACCUCUGACACCGGCCGCCCUGCCUUUGGGCGAAGAGGGAGCCGGCCUCGGGCGCGGAGGCUUCCGCAGGCGCCGGUGUCCAGCUGGGAUUUGCUCACACGUCCUUGCACUGGUGUUUAUGGCAGCCCUCCGUUGACGGUAAGUGAAACCAGAUUUCCCAUCAGAGCAGUGGUAGCAAGUUUUGUUUUGAAACAAAGGUGUGUAAGCUCCGGGGAAAGCAGCCGGCCUUGGAAAGUGUAUUGCUGAUGGCACGGGGGUUCCAGGGAUUGGGCGAAAGCCGAGGGAGGACUGGAGAGAGGCUGGGAGACACCGACGCAGGAAGGGCCCUGAAGUCCAGUGGGUGCCCCUCAGCAGAGGGCCUGCUCCACUCCUGGGGGGCGUCUGUCCUCCGCCCGGUUCUUGUGCGACCAGCUGACGUCACGGGGAGGAAGGGUGUCCCUGGGCUCUGCGGGGCAGCCACGGAGGGGUGGCUCUCAGGACAGUCCUUGCAUCAGGCUCGGGGGAGGGGACGCUCUCUGCCCUGAUCCCCCUCGGCCGUGAAGGCAGGAGUCUGGGGUGUGCGGUGGCAUUGGUGUCCUUUUAUUCGUUUGGGCUCUUUGGAGAAAUUAAGCCUGAAAAAACAAGCCUCCCCAAAAUAAAACAUUUAAGAUAAGCUGUCCAAACACGACCAGGUAGACUUUGCUCUCCCGAAAUGUGUCUAAAAAUGAAGCCAGGCGUUCCCUGGUGGCUUAGCGGGUGGCUCGGGCCACUGCUAUAGCAUGGGUUCGAGCCCCGGGCCAGGGAUUUCCACAUGUGCCGUGGGCCCAGCCAAAAAACUAUACAUUAAAACGAAAAAAUAAAAGCCAAGCCGUAAGAAGGGUUUGAGCGUAAAGCUGUGACGGGUGUGGUCAGGGCAGUGUCUGGUCGCUGAGGGCAGGGUGACCCGAGCGUGGGCCAGCAGGGAAGUGGCCCCUCUGGGACCUGGAGGGUGCUGCUGUGGCGACAGGGACCUCUCUGCCCCCUGGCCGGGGCUUCCUCUUCAGACUCCGCCUUGGGGGUAGGAGUGCCCCUGCCCACUCCCCGGGCCCCCCCGCCCCCCAAAGGCAGGGGAUUUCCUUCGGGGCACAGACGACACGGCCCCCUCGCUCCCUCCGUCUCUGUGCUCCCCUGUGUGCCGUGGGUUGUCACCAAAUGAGGGCAGAGCCGGUCCUUUGCUGAGUUCCCAGUGCCUUUGCUAGGGUCGGGCACUCCUUUCGGAAGUGUCAACGGGACAGGGGCAUGGAGGGGGGGCAGAAAUGGUCCCACUUUUCUCCUUCUCACAAGGUUCCUGACAGAUUAGUUAGGACAUGACAGAAAUAGGGAGUUGGGGGGGAUUAGAAGUUGGCUUUUUCUUACCCCUGUGCCUUCAUCAUGUAUAAAAGGGAUUAAAACCCCCUGUGGCUCAGCGGGUUAAGAAUCUGACUAGUAUCCAUGAGGAUGCAGGUUCGAUCCCUGGCCUUGCCCAGUGGGUUACGGAUCUUGAAUUGCUGCAAGCUGCGGUAUAGUUUGCAGACGUGGCUUGGAUCUGGUGUUGCUGUGGCGGUGGUGCCAACUGACAACUGCAGCUCUGAUUUGACCCCCUAGCCUGGGAUCUUCCAUAUGCCUAAAAAGAAAAACAAGAACAACAACAAAAGCAAAAGAAAGAAUCUUUUUAAGACGAAAUUUUAAAGAGUUAAAAAUUGCUCUUUAAGGAGUUCCCUGGUGGCACAGUGGGUUAAGGAUUAGGUGUUGUCACUGCUGUGGCUUGGGCUGCUUCUGUGGCGUGGGUUCAUUUCCUGGCUUGGGAACUCCUGCAUGCUGUGGGCAUGGCCUAAAACAAACAAACAAAACAAAUUGCUCUGAGUUCGAAAAUCUAAAGUAAUAUUUGAAAAGCAUUGGUGUGUUUUCAUCAGCUAAGUCACAAAAUGUUCCCGCUGGGGUGGGAUCUGGGAAGAAGAGGCUUCCACAGGGUUCGGUGGGAUAGUGAGGCUGAGGGGUGGUUCGCCCCAGUGGAUGCCGAGGCGGUAACGGUAGUGAAUGACGAAGCCUGACUGGGGCCUCCUUUCAGGCUGAACCUUCCCCACUUUGCUGUCAACCUGGAUUCUGCUGCUACAGCCCUGGGAUGUUCAGGCAAGUCAGUUUGCUUCUCUGAACUUUGUUUUCUCGUCUGUAAAAUGGAGCUAAUAAUAGAACCUCCAUCAGGGGCUGUUGUAAGGAUGAAAAGAGUCCUCAGAAAAGUGGCUGCCACAUACUCCGAAGCUCAGGACACAUCAGCUUUGUUUUCGAUUCCAAGAAUCUGAAAGCACGGGAAAUCAUUCUGAGGGGAAAAUGUGAUUUACAGUCUCUAGGAAAGAAAAUAUACACAAUAAUGAGACAGGUUCCAAGAGACAUGUGUUGUCAUCUGUGAGUGGAGCUUUUCCUGCCUACACAGUCUCGGUAACUUCCUUAAAGAUACGUGCUCUCUUUGUAACCCUUAAGCUCCCACACGUUGGAGGCUUUCUUUUCCUUUCUCUUCUUCUUCUUCUUCUUCUUUUUUUUUUUUUUUGCCACACCCAAAACAUGCAGAAGUUCCCCAGGGCCCGGGGAUUGACCCCCUGCCACAGCGGUGACCACACGGAGUUCUUAACUGCUAGGCUGCCAGGGAACUCCCAGAGGCUUUCUUAAGUCAAGCGUGAGUGACUUCUGCUUCUCUUCCAUGCGCAAGAGAUUCCUUAAAAUCUAACACCUUUAGCCCCAUUAAAAAAAAAAAAAACUCAAUAAAUUAAAAGUGAACCACAGAUUUGUAAUUACUGCCUGACAACGAAGAUUAUACUUUGAAAUGCAAGAGACUGAUGGUGAUUGCAGCAAAAACUGAUACAUAGUACAUUUUUAUGUCCCCACUUUACUGAAAUGAUUUUUGACCUAAAAAGCAACCAGACACACCUAAACGUUCUCUUAGGCUUCCGUCCCCUCACCCCACCUCUUCCAAAGGCAGCAGAAUCUCUUCCCUGUGGGGUCAGUAGAGGAAAUUGUCAUUUCUGCUCCAGAGCCCUUUGCACAUCCCCUGGGAUCUGCUGCCCACGACUGCAUGCACAUGGGCCAUGUCCUUGCUUGCUUGCUUGCUUUCUUUUUUUUUUUUGCUUUCUGGGGCCUCCCCCGUGGCCUAGGAAGCUCCCAGGCUAGGGGUCGAAUAGGAGAUACAGCUGCUGGCCUACACCACAGCCACGGCAAUGCCGGAUCCUUGACCCACUCAAGCGAGGCUGGGGAUCGAACCCACAUCCUCAUGGAGACUAGUCGGAUUGUUUUCGCUGUCCGCAAAGGGAACUCCCCACAUCCUUUGUAAAAUUCAGUGUCCACCUAAGUCCCAGGGUACGAGGACAUUGGGGCCGAGGC